This 152-nucleotide unclassified non-coding RNA is filed under the name uncultured fungus. RNAcentral's name for it is "sequence contains ITS1". The record is from RNAcentral. Lineage: Eukaryota; Fungi.
CAAGAAGAGACCCUAACCGGUCCUCUCAACCCUGCCCAUCGUACCCUUUUUGUUGUUCCCUCGGCGGCGCUCCCGGGCCCGCCGGCGGGAAGACCAAACAAACCCUUUGCAAACCAGCAUACUUACAUCUCUGAUCAAAACACAAAUUGUCA